This 468-nucleotide ribosomal RNA is filed under the name uncultured bacterium. RNAcentral's name for it is "partial 16S ribosomal RNA". It matches the Rfam family "Bacterial small subunit ribosomal RNA", at positions 28 to 507 of the family's 1533-position model. The record is from RNAcentral.
GACGAACGCUGGCGGCGGGCUUAACACAUGCAAGCCGAACGGAAAGGCCCUGCUUUUGUGGGGUGCUCGAGUGGCGAACGGGUGAGUAACAAGUGAGUAACCUGCCCUUGACUUUGGGAUAACUUCAGGAAACUGGGGCUAAUACCGGAUAGGAGCUCCUGAUGCAUGGUGGGGGUUGGAAAGUUUCGGCGGUCGGGGAUGGACUCGCGGCUUAUCAGCGUGUUGGUGGGGUAGUGGCUUACCAAGGCUUUGACGGGUAGCCGGCCUGAGAGGGUGACCGGGGACCUGGGGCCUGCGGGACGGCCCAGACGCCUACGGGCGGCAGCAGUGGGGAAUAUUGCGGAAUGGGCGGGAGCCUGAUGCAGCAACGCUGCGUGCGGGAUGGCGGCCUUCGGGUUGUGAACCGCUUUCGCAUGUGCCGAAGCGUGGUUGACGGUAAUGAAUAAGGAAGCCCCGGCUAACUACGUG